RNAcentral lists this ribosomal RNA (114 nucleotides) under Chrysemys picta bellii (western painted turtle). Lineage: Eukaryota; Metazoa; Chordata; Testudines; Emydidae. The record is from RNAcentral.
UAUUAUAGUUAUACCCUGUUGUACCGUGGGCUUGUCAGAUCUCACAAGCUAAGCAGGCUUGGGCUUGGUCAGUACUGAAGUGGAUGACCUCCAGAGAAAAGCUGGCUGUGAUAG